UUUCAUUUUUACUUCCCUUCUCUCUCCUGCUCUCUCCCCUUUUCAGAGCACGGCGUCGGCCACCGCAGGUACUGGCUGAAAGCAGCGGGACUCUGGGAGCCUCUCGGAGGAUGCCUUAACGAGCCAAAGGCCUUCUCAGCGGGCGACAAAUGUAUGCAAAUGAGAUGCGUGUCCCAGUGAGGACCCAAGGCCAGGGGAUCGGGGGGCGAACUCCAGCCGAGCGUGUUCUACUGCCCCACCACUGCCCCGAAGACCAACCCCAUCUCUGUCCUAGCCGGGAUGCACAGCGAAUGCUGGCGUCCAGUCCUGGAAGCAGGCUGGGUUUCCAAACAGCAGGCAUUUGUGAAAGGGCCUGAAAUCAUUAUCAGUGUCAUCUCAACCGACGGCCUCUCCGUCGGAGUCAGAAGGGGAUGUGGAGGACUUCAUUCUGUCCAAGGAACAGCCCGGCCAGAGCCUUCAGGCUCAGGGAGGAAGGGCGGACAUUUUUAUUUGCGGAUCUUUAAAAAGCUGCUCGUCACAAUAUGUUUUUAAUGGAAAUAAUAAAAGUGUCACGACACAACAACGUCAACUUAGCAGCCAGAAUAGCAGUAUUGAUCUUUGUGUUGAUGAAACAAAAUGCUUUGCCAUUUUAGUUCAUGAUCUACCAAAUGAUGAAAUUUUCACAGUCAAUGUCACAUUCUUAGUUCCAUGGCAGGUCUAGAAAAUGGGGUGAUAAAAUAUCAUAUUUAUUUCAAGCGAUUGACUGAAAAAUCACAGAUUCACAUUGUCUUAAAAGUAUUAAAUGAAAACAAUAAACACC
Molecule: long non-coding RNA, 799 nt
Organism: Clupea harengus (Atlantic herring)
Lineage: Eukaryota; Metazoa; Chordata; Actinopteri; Clupeiformes; Clupeidae
Source: Ensembl